GGGUCCUGGGGGCGCCGCCGUCCCUCGGGCCGGGCAACGCCGGGCGGGGACCGGUCUCGCCCCGCCGCGCUCGGGCUCCCUCCCCGGCGGCCCCUCCUCGGCGAACAGCCUUUCGGCGCGGGGGGCUGUUAAACCAGACACCCCAGGCCACACUCCUCUCGUUCGAAAUGACCAUUUCGGGGUUCUCCGUGGCGGGGAGCUCCGCCGCCGCCGUCCCCCUUCCACGCGCGGGAGGUCGGCGAGGGCAGGGCGGGGACCCGGAGUGCGGCCCCCGGUCCUGCUUCGUGGCCCGAAACGCCUCGCAAUGGAGUCACUCAUGACAGGGGACUCAGCGCACGGGGCGGCUGCUGAGCCCCGCAGCGAUCGGCGGGCGUGAGGGGUUCCCCGGCGUGGUUGCCCGGGAGCCUGUCAGCCCCAGCAGCCCUGACAGGAAAGGGAAGUCGAGAGGAGGCUGAGCGAACGGCCGCCACCCCCGCGGGACGCUGACCCGGGCGGACCCCGAGGGGCCUCUCCCCGCGCCAGAGCGCGGCGUGCGCGGGGAAGCGCGACCCACCGGGGUCGGCGACGGCGCGCGGGGCGGGCGCGGCGGUUCCCUCUCCUCCGCCCGUGCCCGUGGGAUCGGCGGGCUUGUCGGGCUGGGAGAGCCUCGUGGAACCCGGGCAUCCGGGCAGCAGCGGCCUCCGAGCCACUGUGGAGGCGCCCGGGGUCGGCACGGCGAGGCCGACGGGGACCUGACACGGUCACGCGGCGCCGGGGAGCAGGUUCGAGUGGCCGGGCGUGGCCGUGCUGCCCCUCCGCGUUCCGCAGGCGGCGACGGGCGAGCGGCCCUAGCGGGCUGCAGGGAGGACGCCGCGUGGACGGAGAGCCGGCGCCCGGGGGCCAGAUCCCCUCCCGGGACGGGGCGCCAGGUCCCCGCGAGCUGCGGCGCGACGCGCGGGCACCCGUGUCCCACCCGGUGGCCUCGCCGCUGCGGGCUGCGCUGAGAGCGGGGUGGCGCGACGCGGUCCCUCACCGCAGGGGGAAGACGGCACCACCGCGUCCCGGCCGCUGGAGCUUCCCGCCCGCGCCGCCGGCCCGACGCUGCCCCCUGGCGGGAGAGCGCUGCAGGGGCCCCGGCGAGGCCGCAGGACCCGACCUCCCCGCCGGCCUCGCACUCCCGCGCCGCCGCCGAGGGUCGGCAGCCGGAUCGCCCUCCGUGCCCCAUAGCACCCCUCACACUAAAAACGACGACUUUAUUAAGAUGUGAGAUACAGGGUCUCUGUCGCCCAGGCUGGAGUGCGGUGGCACGAUCUCGGCUCACCGCAGCCUUGAACUUCUAGGCUCCAGCGAUCCUCCUGCCUCAGCCUCCCGAGCAGCUGGGACCACAGGCCCCGCCACCAUGCCCGGCUCAGUUCCAUGACUUCUGACACGCGAAACCACCAGGCUAGUCUCCCCCCGAGUUCAAGAAGUCCUCUCCUCCCAAAAGUACCCUCCUGCCCCUCUGCAGCUAACCCCUCACCUCCCCUCCGCCCUGGUUCCAGACAACUGCUCCUCUGAUUUCUGUCACUGCCCUUUGCCUCUCUCGCAAUUGCAUGCAAGGAGAACCAUUCACCGUGUGGUCUUUUGUGCCUGGCUUUCUUCGCUUGGCACCAUGCAGCUGAGCGUCGCCCGUGUGGCGUGUGUGUGUUGUAUUUUCCUCUACCUUGGUCUUGAGACCUCCCUGGAGAGCCACUGUAAAGGCCAACUCUGCCCUGACAGGGCUCCUGGGAUUUGGGCGUGGGUGUUUGCCGUGGGCCUUUCAUGGGGCACCUCUGUAUCCUGGCUGACCUGUGACCGGGUGUCCCUCUCCCAGGAGACAUAUUUAUCCUGGCAGAUCUCCUUGUGCUUCUUGUCUGACCUGUAUCUAGUUUAUUCCUACCAAGAUAGCUGCUCUCUAGGGAAAGCCCUGACCAGGGAAAACGUUACGUUUGAGCGUCUCAGUCAGGCAUGACACAGAGCAGGCAACACAACGAAACACAGGAACUAACAGAAGUGGUCCUAUUACUUACAGAUCCACAGGGGAAGAGGGCACACUGAGGGCCGUCGGGAAUGUCUUGGGGACACUGUACACAAUCGUUGUGGGGGUGGGGGGAGCCAGAGAGAGACGGACCUGUGGGCUGAGGCUUUUAUUGGAGUGCAGGGCAUUACUCAAGCAGUUUUCCCAAGGGGAGCUCUAAUUGGUUCACCUAGAGGAGCGAACUGGAGUCCUGUGGGGCCACCUUGUGACUUAGGGGUGGUCACUGAGACAUAUCUGCAUAGUCCAUGCAGGGUGUGGGCGUCAGUGGGGUGAGUCUAGUUGGUUGUAUGUAUACAUCCCACAAGGAGGCAGUUACCAGGAGGUGGCUACCUAGGACCAGAUAUCUGGACGGAAUGUGUUGAGAUACUGUUUCCAGCAGAGAGCUGGAAACUGUAUCCAAGGUGACUAAGCCCUGCUUCUAGUAUGAAAUUGUUAACCCUAUAUUCAAAAUGGAUACUGAAGCAACCUAAAAUUUCAGGUAUUUACUAAAGUGUGUAUCAAGUUCCCUCCUUACCACUGGUGAGUAGUAUUCCAUUGUAUGGAUAUGCCACAGGCUGUUUGUCCAUUUGGACAUUGAUGGAUGGACUAAAGUUGGCCAAGCUGGGCUGGUGGGGAGGCACCCUCUCAGGACCCCAAAGGAGGAUGCGGGGUUGUUGUUGGAUGUCUGGGUUGUUUCCAGUUUGAAGGCAUUGUGAAUAAAACUGACUUGAGCCUUCCUAGAAAGUUUUUUGAAUAUACAUAUGUUUCAUUUCUCUCGGAUAAAAUGCCUGGAAGUAGGCGGGAUGGCUUGGUUGCAUGGUGAGUCUUUUUUUAAAAAAAUUUAUUUAAUUAAUUAAUUAAUUAAUUUUUUUGAGACGGAGUCUUGCUCUGUAGCCUAGGCUGGAGCGCAGCGGCACCAUCUCAGCUCACUGCAAGCUCCGCCUCCCGGGUUCAGGCCAUUCUCCUGCCUCAGACUCCCAUGUAGCUGGGACUACAGGCGCCUGCUACCAAGCCCGGCUAUUUUUUUUGUAUUUUUAUCAGAGACAGGGUUUCACUGUGUUAGCCAGGAUGGUCUCGAUCUCCUGACCUCGUGAUCCAUCCGCCUCGGCCUCCCAAAGUGCUGCGAUUACAGGCGUGAGCCACCACACCCAGACUUUUUUUUUUUUUUUUUUUUUUGGGAUGGAGUCUCGCUCUGUCGCCCAGGCUGGAGUGCAGUGGUGCAAUCUUGGCUCACUGCAACCUCCGUCUCCUGGGUUCAAGUGAUUCUCCUGCCUCAGUCUCCUGAGUAGCUGGGAUUACAGGCUUGCGCCACCACACCCAACUAAUUUUUGUAUUUUGGGAGAGAUGGGGUUUCACCAUGUUGGUCAGGCUGGUCUUGAACUCCUAACCUUGUGAUCCAUCCGCCUUGGCCUCCCAAAGUGCUGGGAUUACAGGUUUGAGCCACUGCGCCUGGCAGCAUGGUAAGAAAUUGUUUUUCAAAGUGGUCAUACUAUUUGACAUUACCACCAGCAAUGCAUGAGAGCCCAUAGCAUUCUAUGGUUUGUCUUUUCAUUUUCUUUUUUUCCAUGAGACAGGGUCUCAUGCUGUCUCCCAGGCUGCAGUGCAGUGGUAUAAUUGUAGCUAAAUGCAAUCUCGAACUCCUGGGCUCAAGUGAUCCUCCCACCUCAGCCUUCUGAGUAGCUGGGAUGAUAGGCACACGCCACUAUGCCUGGCUAAUUAUUUUUAUUUCAAUUUUUUAUCUUUAGUAGAGAUGAGAUCUCGCUAUGUUGCCCAGGCUGGUCUUGAACUCCUGGGCUCAAGUGAUCCUACUGCCUCAGCUUCCCAAAAUGCUGGGAAUACAGGUGUGAGCCACCACACCCACCUGUUUUUUCAUUUUCCUAAUGUUAUCUUUCAAAGAGCCAAAGUUUCUAAUUGUGACAGCGUCCAAUUUAUUAAACAUUUUCCUUGAUUGCCUACCUUAAGGUAAGGUUGCAAAUAUUUUCUCCUAUAUUUUCUUCUAGAAUUGUAUAGUUUUGGCUUUUUGUUUAGGUCUAUGAUACACUCAAACUAACUUUAUGGGUGGUGUGAGGUAAGAAUCAAGGGUCUUAUUUAUUUAUUUAUUUAUUUAUUUAUUUAAGAUGGAGUCUCAUUGUCUCCCUCUCCCUCGCCCUCGCCCUCGCCCUCGCCCUCGCCCUCUCCCUCUCCCCACGGUCUCCCUCUGAUGCCGAGCUGAAGCUGGACGGUACUGCUGCCUGAUUCUCCUGCCUCAGCCUGCCGAGUGCCUGCGAUUGCAGGUGCGCGCCGCCACGC
Molecule: long non-coding RNA, 4303 nt
Filed under: Homo sapiens (human)
Lineage: Eukaryota; Metazoa; Chordata; Mammalia; Primates; Hominidae
Description: HSALNT0067461
Source: RNAcentral